Non-coding RNA from Oryza glumipatula, 202 nucleotides. NCBI's taxonomy places the organism in Eukaryota, Viridiplantae, Streptophyta, Magnoliopsida, Poales, Poaceae. The record is from Rfam.
UCCGUCCGCAGUCGUGGAUUUUCAUCUCUAACGUUUGAUUGUCCGUAUUAUCUAAAAUAAAUAUUAUGAUUAGUAGUUUUAAUCUUAUUAUGUACAUAAAUAAUACUUUAUAUGUGACUAGUUUUUUUAAUUCUUUCAUAAAGUUUUCAAAUAAAAAAAGACAGUCAAAUGUUGGACACGAAAAAUCAUAAUUACACUUAUA